GAUGAAGAACGUAGCGAAAUGCGAUACGUAAUGUGAAUUGCAGAAUUCAGUGAAUCAUCGAAUCUUUGAACGCAUAUUGCGCUCUCUGGUAUUCCGGAGAGCAUGCUUGUUUGAGUAUCAGUAAACACCUCAACUCCCUUUUCUUUUUUGAAAUUGGAGCUGGACUUGAGUGAUCCCAACGCUUUCUUCCAAGAAAGUGGCGGGUUGCUUGAAAUGCAGGUGCAGCUGAACUUUUCUCUGAGCUAUAAGCAUAUCUAUUUAGUCUGCCUAAAAAACAGAUUAUUACCUUUGCUGCAGCUAACAUAAAGGAGACUAGUUCUUGUGCUGACUGAUGCAGGAUUCACAGAGACAGCUUCGGCUGACUUUGUAAACUCGAUCUCAAAUCAAGUAAGACUACCCGCUGAACUUAAGCAUAUCAAUAAACGGAGGA
Molecule: unclassified non-coding RNA, 430 nt
Filed under: soil metagenome
Description: partial contains 5.8S ribosomal RNA, internal transcribed spacer 2, and large subunit ribosomal RNA
Rfam family: 5.8S ribosomal RNA (bases 1-120)
Source: RNAcentral